Pseudomonas putida KT2440 is the source of this 138-nucleotide regulatory RNA element. It matches the Rfam family "Pseudomonas rpsL leader". The record is from Rfam. NCBI's taxonomy places the organism in Bacteria, Pseudomonadati, Pseudomonadota, Gammaproteobacteria, Pseudomonadales, Pseudomonadaceae.
GGCCGGGGCCUCGUCUUGACUGGGUGCAAGAUCCUCUUUAGACUUUUGUACCCUUAAAUUUGGUGAGGCUCCGUCUCGCCAAUUUUUGGCUUUCUUGCAAGACAAUAGAGUCGCAAGACAAUCAGUGGAGCUAGUAGA